Molecule: ribosomal RNA, 460 nt
Filed under: uncultured bacterium
Lineage: Bacteria
Description: partial 16S ribosomal RNA
Rfam family: Bacterial small subunit ribosomal RNA
Source: RNAcentral
CCUACGGGGGGCAGCAGUGAGGAAUAUUGGUCAAUGGCCGAGAGGCUGAACCAGCCAAGUCGCGUGAGGGAAGAAUGUCCUAUGGAUUGUAAACCUCUUUUGUCAGGGAGUAAAGUCACCCACGUGUGGGUGUUGGAGAGUACCUUAAGAAAAAGCAUCGGCUAACUCCGUGCCAGCAGCCGCGGUAAUACGUAGGGAGCAAGCGUUGUCCGGAAUUACUGGGCGUAAAGGGCGCGUAGGUGGGUUCUUAAGUCAGGUGUGAAAACUCUGGGCUCAACCUGGAGACUGCACUUGAAACUGGGUAUCUUGAGUGCAGGAGAGGAAAGUGGAAUUCCUAGUGUAGCGGUGAAAUGCGUAGAUAUUAGGAGGAACACCAGUGGCGAAGGCGACUUUCUGGACUGUACCUGACGCUGAGGCGCGAAAGCGUGGGUAGCGAACGGGAUUAGAUACCCCAGUAGUC